Non-coding RNA from Theobroma cacao (cacao), 711 nucleotides. The record is from RefSeq and is a predicted model, not a curated record. Lineage: Eukaryota; Viridiplantae; Streptophyta; Magnoliopsida; Malvales; Malvaceae.
AAGCAUUUAGUCCUUUAAAUCAUUUUAUUAUAGUUAACUUUAGAAAAAAUAACAAAAAAGAAGUUUUAUACCAUAGCAACUAAAUAACAGGAGAAUGCAAAUUCAUAUUCUCGAGUCACACCUUUAAGAAUAUAAAAUAUCAGAAGCUAAAGGAAGGAAGAACAAGCCAACAUGCUGCUUGAAUUGAUUCACUUUGAUUCAUUGGACUGCUAAUAUAUAUAUAUACAAGCCUAAGUAAUCAAAAUAUCUAACAUAUUUUCACUAUUUGACAGGCAAAUCUGCAUAAGGCAUGCCCAUCACGAAGCUAAGGCAACAGGCUAAGUACUACAACAGCAUUUAUCAGCACAAACAAGUAAUGCAACCGCUUCAAAGUAGUAUCCCACAUUCUCAACGUUUGCAAGCUUCGAAGCUUAUAGAAAGAACUUGGAAGUUUCCUUAUGCGAGAAGAACUCAAGUCAAGGUAUCGUAAGUGCUUCAAGGUACCAACAGAAUUCGGUAAAGCCUUCAAUGACGAAUAACUUAAAUCAAGUGCUCGUAGAUACUUAAAGUUCGAGACACAAAACUUGAUAAAAGAUUUAUCAAUAGUUUUUAAUUCCUUUGAGAGGUUUUGGGCAAUUAUUGUUCGCACAUGUUUUGAUUCCUUUAAAACUAGAGGAACUUUUAUGAAUGAUUGAUCAUCACAAAAUGACACAUGCCGAACUUUUUCAUCAA